This 516-nucleotide long non-coding RNA is filed under the name Daucus carota (carrot). RNAcentral describes it as "long non-coding RNA (DCAR_LNC000244)". The record is from RNAcentral. Lineage: Eukaryota; Viridiplantae; Streptophyta; Magnoliopsida; Apiales; Apiaceae.
AUUGGAAGGAACAAUAACUAGAAGUGUUGUGUGAUUUCUGGAGCCCAUGAUUAAAAGGUAAUCAUUUGUUUUGUAUCUAUAUCUUAAACCCAUUAUUGACGAAUUUGAAUUAUUUCUGGAAGCAUUGUAACAGACUUUGACGUUACUAAAUGUCAGUGAUGAAUUUCUAGCGAGUUUUUGCUGUAAUUCAUAUUUUGUACCAAAUAGAAAGUGGUAUAUGUUUACUUUCUUGGUCUCAAUGCCUUAAUGUUAUUUGUUGGUGAAUGAUAUAUGUUGAUGUUGUGUAAUUACAGGAAAUUUUAUUGACGUGAAUGAUUAGUCCACUUAAGUGGUAUUGCUGUUCAAAUUCAGAAAGUGCAGAAUCUGUGUUCCCAACUUACGACUAUACUUCAAUGGCAUUACUGGAAGGAGUCACACUAUGGGAUGAUUAUCACAAAUUUAUAUUUCAAGUCGGCAGAAAUCUGCUUCCUAUGCAAUGUUAGGAUAUUUAAGUUGAUUUAACAUAUUGAUAUUUUG